CACAUGGAGCAUAUACGUUCAUUACGAUUACCUGAAUUCUUUCUGGUUCCCAAUACCUUUCUGCUCCGAUGAAGUGCUCACCACGAAUUUCAGCAUGUUUCUUGAAAUUCUUUCUGGUUCCCAAUACCCUACUUACAGAAAUUAAAAGCUGGGAAAAGCAUCACCUAGUUACAGGUUUGCAUUGCAUCUUAUGCUGCCACAGUGCCACUGUUGCAACUACUCCUGAAGUCCAAUGCUCAUGAAACAUUAUUAUCGGCAAUGAAGAGAAAAUUUCCUGAUAUCUAUAAAUACUAACAUGCUGAAUCUAUUAUAGCAGAACCAGCUAUUGAAGUGACGAUGACAGAUGAACAAUAUGUCUAAAUCAGAUGCAUUGAAGUUUUAAGAUCUUAAUUAAGGCCAAUACAUUUUCAAAGCAUUGAUCUAUUUAUCUUGGAGACUGAUAUUUUCCAUCACGCCUUAGAGUACAUUUAGUAAUAAAGCCAGGCACAUCUAGGAAUGAAGCCAAGUUAUGGCAAACCAUUUUCAUUUUACAAAACCUACACUUAAAAUAAUGGCACCACCGUGAUUUUGUCAAAGCCAUGGUAAUUCCAGCAUGCAUUUAAUUUUAUUGUAUAUAGUAUAGAAGAGUAAAUUACAGUCAUUCACUUUUAUUCUUGAUGUUUGUGAAUCAAAAGUUUAUACACUUUACAGUCCUACAAUUUUAUCUAUUUUGAGAUAAAACAAUGCUGGAAGGCAAAGGUGUCUUCGAUUAAAUGUUGGUCUUUCAAAAAGUUUUUGGACAGCAUCACUAAAUAUGGCUUGCUAUCUUGUCAACAAAUCACCACAAGCUUCACUGAAUGGCAAAAUUGUUGAGGAGGUGUGGACAGGUAAUCCCAUUAAUCUGAGUAAUUUGAGGAUUUUUGGGUGUUCAAACAUAUGUAUAUAUUUCCAGUGAGGAUCGGUCUAAACUUGAUUCCAAGUCAAAACAAUGCAUCUUUAUUGGCUACAAUAAAAAUAUGUAGGGUUACAAGUUAUAGGAUCCAGUUAAGAGGAAGGUGGUUGUUAGUAGAGAUGUUGUAUUUAAUGAGUAGUGGAUGUUGAAACAGUCAAAUGUGAUAGUCGUAUCAGAUACUAAAGUAGGAAAUUCCAGUCAGAACAAUAUUUAGGUGGACAUUAAGGAGCCACUAGUGAGUCCAAGGUAGGUUGUAGCCCAACAACAGGAUGAAUCAGGCUCAAAUUUAGGUGGAGUACAAGACUAUACACUUGUGCGUGAUAGGAAGCCCCUUCGUAUUACACCUCCAGUGAGAUAUGGGUUUGAAGACUUAGCACCAUAUUCUCUUCUUACCAGUUUCAGGAGACCCUUCUAUCUUUUUGAGAGGUUAUGGCUAGCCAGGAGAAAAAUAAGUGUAUGAUGCUAUAGUGGAGGAGAUGGAGUCUUUGAAAAAGAAUGAGAAAUGAGAUCUUGUUCAGCUGCCACAAGGAAAGAGAGCUAUUGGUUGCCAGUGUGUAUAAAAGAAAAAUCUAGCAGUAAUAGAAAAAGAAGGGGAAAAGUUCAAGGCUCGUCUAGUUGUAAAGGGGUAUUCACAGUAGAAUGGGGUUGAUUAUGAUGAGAUUUUCAUUAUGGUUGUUAGACACACUUUUAUCAGAACAUUAUUAGACAUGGUAGCCAACAAGGAUAUGCAUUUAGAGAAGAUGGAUGUGAAAACAAUUUUCCUCGAUGGUAAUCUAGAGGAACAAAUCUACACGGAGUAACCAUAGAGUUGUAGUGAUACUGGACAUGGCAGACUUAUUUGCAAAUUGAAGAGGUCUUUGUUGAAUUAGUCUACGAGGAAGUGGUACAAGCACUUUGAUUCAUACAUGCUCCGGAUUAACUAUAGAAGGUUUGUUUAUGAUUGAUGUGUUUAUGCGAGCAGCCUUGAUGACGGUUCUUUUAUUUUUCUUUUAUUUUAUGUUGGUGAUUUGUUGACUGCUGCGAACCAUUUGCAUGUUGUAAAUGAGUUGAAGAAAAAGUUGAGUAAGGCGUUUGAUAUAAAGGAUUUGGGUGCUGCAAAGAAGAUUCUUGGGAUGGAAAUUCACAAGGACAGGGGAGCUAAUAAAUUAUGGCUGUCUCAGAAAGACUAUGUUGAAUGUGUUUUUAGCAUAUUUGACACGAGGAAAGAAAAGCCUGGAGUACUCCAUUGGCAAAUCACUUUAGUCUUUCUUUGAAACAAUUUCCAAAGACAAACUCAAAGAUUGAAGGUAUGUCUAAGAAUUCUUAUGCUAAUGCAGUUGAUUGUUUGAUGUAUUAUAUGGUUUGCACUAGAUUGAAUUUGGAACAAGAAUUUAUGUACAAGUUCAUGUCCAAAGCAGGGAAGCAACAUUGGGAAGCAGUCAAGUGGAUCCUAAGGUACUUGAAGGGUACAAGGCAUCAUGGUAUCAUGUUUAACAUGGAGUAGAUGAUUCCAUCAAUUAUGGGAUAUGUGGAUUAUGACUAUGCAGGUGAUAUGGACGAUAGGAGGUUUACAAUAGGCUAUGUCUUUACUCUUGCGGGGGACCUAUAUGCUGAAAAUCAUCAGUUCAAUCCAUAGUAGCUAUGUAUAUAGUUGAGGCAAAAUACAUGGCAAUAGAUGAAGCUGCCAAGGAAGCAUUUUGUGGCUUACAUGGUUAGUAAAAGAGUUUGGUGGUGAGCAAGGUGGAGUUCAAUUGCAUUGUAAUAGUCAAAGCGCUAUAUAUUUGAUAAAAAAUCAGGUGUAUCAUGCUAAAAGCAAACAUAUUGAAGUGAGGUUUGUUGUACCCCAAUUUUUCACCCAGAGAUUCCACAUUAUUUAGCGAAUAGUGUGAUCAUCAUCAUCAUCAUUAGCAUUACCAUCGUUGUUCAUAUACCAUUAGCUAACCAAAAUAUACAAAAAAAAAAAUUGUGUCUUGCUUGUUGUUAGUUUCCCAAGGUAGGUGCCUGAUCAGGAGACUCAGGCAAAUUAGGGUUUUGAGGACCACAAAGAAGCUCAAGCAUUCUCAUAUGCUCAAAUGAUUCCCCUUCUCAAAAUCAAAGUCCAAAAAAGGCUCAAUUCAAGAUCAACAACUUCCUAUUUCAUCUGGUGCACAAAAUAGGAUUUUGGACCUAAUUCAUCUGGAGAGUUGACUUUUAAUCAGGACACGGCUCCAUAGAUCAAACCAUGAUUCAAGGAUCUCCAAUGCAUCAUUAUAAUCCACUCAUGUCAUUCAUUUGAAGAUAAGAGCUUGAUUCAAUUGGUAUUUAUAAGAAUGCAAUUCAUUUGGAAAAAGUAAACUAUCCAAGACUACCAUUGACUUUUGGGAAAUUUGGUCAACUAUGGACUUUUGAAGAUAAAAAAUCAUUAACAUAUGAUUAUUGGAGUCAUUUGAUAAAGAAAAAUCAAGAAAAUCAAUCAAGAAUAAAAAGUCAACAAAAGUCAAAGUUGAAAAAUUUCAAAGACUUACAAAAUUUCUAAGUGUUUUCGAGCUUUUUAGCCAUAACUUCAUGCACAAGUAACUUUAAAAUCCAAGAAGAAACUGAAAAAUCUUCCAAAAUGACAGUUGUAGAUCUUGGUCCAUACAACAACUUUGUCACAAAUAAAUUUUUCCCAAAAAAUGAAUCAUUUGAGAGUGUUAUGGGUUCAUGAAGAUUCAUAAAAAAGACUUCGAAAAUUUCUUAGUGUUUUAACCUAGUUUUUCCCUAACUUUAUGGGCAUUUUUCACCAAGAUGGAAGGUGAAUCUGAAGAAACACCAAAUAAGGGAGUUGAAGAGUGUUGCAAGAGCUUUCCAAAGAGUAUUCAAACACCUCCAUAGCAUGUGUGAGUUAGGAGAAUCAAAUUGAAGAAGAUAACGCCAUAACACUUGAAUGCAAGCCAUGAAAAUGCAAAGUUAUGAUCCAAGUUUAUCCAAAUCUGUAAGAACCAAGCACUACAGGUCCUAUAACUUGUUCAAGACACCAUAAUCAAAUGAUUUCACUUUCUUUUGAUUCAUUACCCAAGUGUUUCAAGCAUUGUCCAAAGAUUCAUUCCACUUCAAGCAUAAAGAUAUGACUUCCAUUCUUGUAAAGUGACUUUAAU
Vicia villosa (hairy vetch) is the source of this 4026-nucleotide long non-coding RNA. RefSeq lists it as uncharacterized. The transcript has 3 exons. Lineage: Eukaryota; Viridiplantae; Streptophyta; Magnoliopsida; Fabales; Fabaceae. The record is from RefSeq and is a predicted model, not a curated record.